AACGAACGCUGGCGGCAUGCCUAACACAUGCAAGUCGAACGAGACCUUCGGGUCUAGUGGCGCACGGGUGCGUAACGCGUGGGAACCUGCCCUUAGGUUCGGAAUAACUCCCCGAAAGGGGUGCUAAUACCGGAUAAUGUCUUCGGACCAAAGAUUUAUCGCCUUUGGAUGGGCCCGCGUUGGAUUAGCUAGUUGGUAGGGUAAAAGCCUACCAAGGCGACGAUCCAUAGCUGGUCUGAGAGGAUGAUCAGCCACACUGGGACUGAGACACGGCCCAGACUCCUACGGGAGGCAGCAGUGGGGAAUAUUGGACAAUGGGCGCAAGCCUGACACAGCAAUGCCGCGUGAGUGAUGAAGGCCUUAGGGUUGUAAAGCUCUUUUACCCGGGAUGAUAAUGACAGUACCGGGAGAAUAAGCUCCGGCUAACUCCGUG
RNAcentral lists this ribosomal RNA (433 nucleotides) under uncultured bacterium. RNAcentral describes it as "partial 16S ribosomal RNA". It matches the Rfam family "Bacterial small subunit ribosomal RNA", at positions 29 to 507 of the family's 1533-position model. The record is from RNAcentral.